Molecule: ribosomal RNA, 402 nt
Filed under: bacterium
Lineage: Bacteria
Description: partial 16S ribosomal RNA
Rfam family: Bacterial small subunit ribosomal RNA
Source: RNAcentral
UGGGGAAUUUUGCACAAUGGGGGAAACCCUGAUGCAGCGACGCCGCGUGAUUUAGAAGGCCUUCGGGUUGUAAAAAUCUUUUCUAUGGGAAGAAAAUGACAGUACCAUAGGAAUAAGGACCGGCUAAUUACGUGCCAGCAGCCGCGGUAAUACGUAAGGUCCGAGCGUUGUCCGGAAUCAUUGGGCGUAAAGGGUACGUAGGCGGGUAAGCAAGUUAGAAGUGAAAUCCUAUAGCUCAACUAUAGUAAGCUUUUAAAACUGCUCAUCUUGAGGUAUGGAAGGGAAAGUGGAAUUCCUAGUGUAGCGGUGAAACGCGCAGAUAUUAGGAGGAAUACCGGUGGCGAAGGCGACUUUCUGGCCAUAACCUGACGCUGAGGUACGAAAGCGUGGGUAGCAAACAGG